GCUUACGGCCAUACCACCUUAGGCACGCCCGAUCUCGUCUGAUAUCGGAAGCUAAGCAGGGUCGGGCUGGUUAGUACUUGGAUGGGUGACCGCCUGGGAAUACCAGGUGCUGUAAGCA
Molecule: ribosomal RNA, 118 nt
Filed under: Gadus morhua (Atlantic cod)
Lineage: Eukaryota; Metazoa; Chordata; Actinopteri; Gadiformes; Gadidae
Source: RNAcentral